GACGAACGCUGGCGGCGUGCUUAACACAUGCAAGUCGAACGGAAAGGCCCUGCUUUUGUGGGGUGCUCGAGUGGCGAACGGGUGAGUAACACGUGAGUAACCUGCCCUUGACUUUGGGAUAACUUCAGGAAACUGGGGCUAAUACCGGAUAGGAGCUCCUGCUGCAUGGUGGGGGUUGGAAAGUUUCGGCGGUUGGGGAUGGACUCGCGGCUUAUCAGCUUGUUGGUGGGGUAGUGGCUUACCAAGGCUUUGACGGGUAGCCGGCCUGAGCGGGUGACCGGCCACAUUGGGACUGAGAUACGGCCCAGACUCCUACGGGAGGCAGCAGUGGGGAAUAUUGCACAAUGGGCGGAAGCCUGAUGCAGCAACGCUGCGUGCGGGAUGACGGCCUUCGGGUUGUAAACCGCUUUCGCCUGUGACGAAGCGGGAGUGACGGUAAUGGGUAAAGAAGCACCGGCUAACUACGUG
Molecule: ribosomal RNA, 468 nt
Filed under: uncultured bacterium
Lineage: Bacteria
Description: partial 16S ribosomal RNA
Rfam family: Bacterial small subunit ribosomal RNA
Source: RNAcentral